Molecule: ribosomal RNA, 253 nt
Filed under: uncultured bacterium
Lineage: Bacteria
Description: partial 16S ribosomal RNA
Rfam family: Bacterial small subunit ribosomal RNA
Source: RNAcentral
UACGUAGGGUGCGAGCGUUGUCCGGAAUUAUUGGGCGUAAAGAGCUCGUAGGCGGUUUGUCACGUCUGCUGUGAAAUCCCGAGGCUCAACCUCGGGCCUGCAGUGGGUACGGGCAGACUGGAGUGCGGUAGGGGAGAAUGGAAUUCCUGGUGUAGCGGUGGAAUGCGCAGAUAUCAGGAGGAACACCGAUGGCGAAGGCAGUUCUCUGGGCCGUAACUGACGCUGAGGAGCGUAAGCGUGGGGAGCGAACAGG